This 350-nucleotide unclassified non-coding RNA is filed under the name soil metagenome. Its description in RNAcentral is "partial contains 5.8S ribosomal RNA, internal transcribed spacer 2, and large subunit ribosomal RNA". The stretch from base 1 to 120 matches the Rfam family "5.8S ribosomal RNA", at positions 35 to 154 of the family's 154-position model. The record is from RNAcentral.
GAUGAAGAACGCAGCGAACUGCGAUAAGUAAUGUGAAUUGCAGAAUUCAGUGAAUCAUCGAGUCUUUGAACGCACAUUGCGCCCCCUGGCAUUCCGGGGGGCAUGCCUGUCCGAGCGACAUUGCUGCCCUUCAAGCCCGGCUUGUGUGUUGGGUCGUCGUCCCCCCCGGGGGACGGGCCCGAAAGGCAGCGGCGGCACCGCGUCCGGUCCUCGAGCGUAUGGGGCUUUGUCACCCGCUCGAUUAGGGCCGGCCGGGCGCCAGCCGGCGUCUCCAACCUUCUAUUUUACCAGGUUGACCUCGGAUCAGGUAGGGAUACCCGCUGAACUUAAGCAUAUCAAUAAGCGGAGGA